Molecule: long non-coding RNA, 2049 nt
Filed under: Equus caballus (horse)
Lineage: Eukaryota; Metazoa; Chordata; Mammalia; Perissodactyla; Equidae
Description: lncRNA (ENSECAG00000057297.1)
Source: RNAcentral
GGAAAUUUGAACAUGGAUUAGGUAUUAGACGAGAUCAGGAAACUAUUGUUAAUUUUAUUAGGUUUAAUAGUGAUAUUGUUUUAAAAAACACUCUUCUCUUACCUGUUAGAUAUUUACUGAGAUAACACAUACUGAGAUAUUUAAAGGUGAAGUGAUACAUUGCCUGGUCCAGAAAAAAAAUAAAUAAGGAGAAGGAUAAUUGAUGAAACAAGGUUGCAAAGUGUACUUGAGCCUGAGUGAUGGCUACAGGGGAUCUUUUUUUUUUUUUUUUUUUUUUUUGCAUGUUUGAAAUUUUCCACGGUGAAAAGUUAAACAGAAAACUUUCAAUAGCAUCUCAUCUCACUCGCAGUUCCCUAGCGUGAGCCUGUGAGGUAGCUGUGCUGGUAUUAUCUCCACUCUACAAAAGCAUAAACUGAGGACUGGGGCCGCCCCGUGACCAAGUGAUUAAGUUCUCCCACUCCGCUUCGGCAGCCCAGGGUUUGCAGGUUCGGAUCCUGGGGCAGGACAUGGCACCGCUCGUCAGGCCACGGUGAGGUGGCAUCCCACAUGCUACAACUAGAAGGACCCACAACUAAAAUAUACAACUAUAUACUGAGGGGAUUUGGGGAGAAAAAAGCAGAAAAAAAAAAAGAGAUUGGCAACAGUUGUUAGCUCAGGUGCCAAUCUUUAAAAAAAAAAAAAAAAAGGAAUAAACUGAGUACUGAAGAGGUUGUACCCACCACAUCUUGCAGAAGGGUUGCAGGGGGCUUCUGAUGAUGACGCUUGUUCCCUGGGGGUUGCUCUGCUGUCCGGGAUGGGGCCACCACGUGGUCAUUCCCGGGUAGAGUCAAGCACAAUUUCUUCCCCACGGGUGUGCCCAGGUCCAAGGACAGAGUAUGAUGCUGACACAGCCAGGAAAGGUUGACAUCUCUGUCAGCCCACUACCUGACCCUCUUCCCGGGAGCCUGCAGGCUCAGCGGCACUCCGGAAGUCCCGCUGCGCCGCAGGUGUCCGCGCGGGUCUCCUCGCUCAGCGAUCCCCGCAGCUGCGCUCUUGGCCACAACCGCAGCUUUGGAAACGCGCGAGGAGGGAAGAGCAGCACCACCGAGGAGGCAGCGCCCGCCCGGAUACCGCGGCUGCGAGGCCCCGAACCAAGGCUGCCACCUGCGGCAUCGUGCCCCUCUGGGCCUACACGUGAGUAUAGGAAGCCUUGGCCAGGUUGCCACCGACGCUAGGAAUAAAACUACACUUGGAGGCAGGUGUUCCCAACAACCUGCUGCUCAGAGUGCUUCCCAAACCACUUACAGCUGGGAAGAGCCGCGGUUAAUAUAUUGUGCUACUUUUUCUUUCUUUCUUUCAAUACCCCUUCUUCCAACGUGUUUUUUCAGUAGCUGAUCCAUUUUACACACACAGCUUCCUCUCAGAUAAAGGUAAGUUGACUAAUUUACAGAAGGAGGAUGUUGAGUGUAGUGACUUGGGGAUCCCAGGGUUAUGGAGCAAGGAGUGGCAAUCCUGACUCUUGCCUUCCGUCUUUUGACCAUAGUCUCCUAUUCUUUGUGGUUUAGAUGUGCAUUCGAUUUUGCAGGGGAGAACAUACAAACAGAAAUUCAUAUUCUUGAUGGUAAGAAUGGUUGAUUUCCAUGAACAGUGAGCUGAGUUUCUCGGAUUGUGUAUUCCCCUUUCCUAGCUAGAUUCGCAAGUAUCAUUUGGGAGAAUCUUUAACCGUGAUUAAAUAAGUAAAUUCUGCUGCUGCUCACCUGGAGCAGGCCGUAGAGAGUUCCCUGUGUGCCAAGUAGCUCUGCUUGGAAUGAGUUCCUGCAAUUCACAUGGCCUGCCCAUAGAAAUUCAAUUUGACCCUCAACGUGGGAACCAGAGUUUGUUUCCUCUACCCCCGACUAUUUAGUAUCUGCUAUAUGCCCCAGUCAGCCUGUUCUUUUUUCCGCGGAUUCACCUGCUCUGGAGAAUGACUGUAAUUGUCUUUGUGGUAACCUCCAGGGCUGCCCAAAAUUAAUUCAGUAAAUGCCAGGCAACUUAUGCUCUAAGGAUGACCUUCCCAAACAUGAGUGAGAG